This 395-nucleotide ribosomal RNA is filed under the name uncultured bacterium. RNAcentral describes it as "partial 16S ribosomal RNA". It matches the Rfam family "Bacterial small subunit ribosomal RNA", at positions 523 to 918 of the family's 1533-position model. The record is from RNAcentral.
AUACGUAGGGUGCAAGCGUUAAUCGGAAUUACUGGGCGUAAAGCGUGCGCAGGCGGUUUUGUAAGACAGAGGUGAAAUCCCCGGGCUCAAACUGGGAACUGCCUUUGUGACUGCAAGGCUAGAGUACGGCAGAGGGGGAUGGAAUUCCGCGUGUAGCAGUGAAAUGCGUAGAUAUGCGGAGGAACACCGAUGGCGAAGGCAAGCCCCUGGGCCUGUACUGACGCUCAUGCACGAAAGCGUGGGGAGCAAACAGGAUUUGAUACCCUGGUAGUCCACGCCCUAAACGAUGUCAACUGGUUGUUGGGUCUUCAUUGACUCAGUAACGAAGCUAACGCGUGAAGUUGACCGCCUGGGGAGUACGGCCGCAAGGUUGAAACUCAAAUGAAUUGACGUGG